This 482-nucleotide ribosomal RNA is filed under the name uncultured bacterium. Its description in RNAcentral is "bacterial SSU rRNA". It matches the Rfam family "Bacterial small subunit ribosomal RNA", at positions 29 to 506 of the family's 1533-position model. The record is from RNAcentral.
UUGAACGCUGGCGGCAUGCUUUACACAUGCAAGUCGAACGGCAGCGGGGGCUUCGGCCUGCCGGCGAGUGGCGAACGGGUGAGUAAUGCAUCGGAACGUACCCAGUCGUGGGGGAUAACUACGCGAAAGCGUAGCUAAUACCGCAUACGCCCUGAGGGGGAAAGCGGGGGACCUUCGGGCCUCGCGCGAUUGGAGCGGCUGAUGUCGGAUUAGCUAGUUGGUGGGGUAAAGGCCUACCAAGGCGACGAUCCGUAGCUGGUCUGAGAGGAUGAUCCGCCACACUGGGACUGAGACACGGCCCAGACUCCUACGGGAGGCAGCAGUGGGGAAUUUUGGACAAUGGGCGCAAGCCUGAUCCAGCCAUGCCGCGUGAGUGAAGAAGGCCUUCGGGUUGUAAAGCUCUUUCGCGAGGGAAGAAAACGCACUCUCUAAUACAGGGUGUGGAUGACGGUACCUUGAUAAGAAGCACCGGCUAACUACGU